UCGCUACUACCGAUUGAAUGUUUAGGUGAGAUUUCCGGACCGGGACGUUACCGCUGGCAACAGCAGUGAUGUUUUGGGAAGUUACUCAAACUUGAUCAUUUAGAGGAAGUAA
RNAcentral lists this ribosomal RNA (112 nucleotides) under uncultured eukaryote. Its description in RNAcentral is "partial small subunit ribosomal RNA". It matches the Rfam family "Eukaryotic small subunit ribosomal RNA", at positions 1676 to 1785 of the family's 1831-position model. The record is from RNAcentral.